Molecule: transfer RNA, 76 nt
Filed under: Neotoma lepida (desert woodrat)
Lineage: Eukaryota; Metazoa; Chordata; Mammalia; Rodentia; Cricetidae
Rfam family: tRNA
About the family: Transfer RNA (tRNA) molecules are approximately 80 nucleotides in length. Their secondary structure includes four short double-helical elements and three loops (D, anti-codon, and T loops).
Source: Rfam by way of RNAcentral
GGGGCUGUGGCCCAGUGGUAGAGCACUUGCCUCACUCACAUCCAGGAGGCCCUAGGUUCAAUUCCUAGUACCACCU